This 332-nucleotide small nuclear RNA is filed under the name Mus spicilegus (steppe mouse). Its description in RNAcentral is "7SK RNA (ENSMSIG00000023988.1)". It matches the Rfam family "7SK RNA", at positions 7 to 289 of the family's 331-position model. Rfam says of the family: 7SK was discovered as an abundant small nuclear RNA in the mid-70s but a possible function has only recently been suggested. The record is from RNAcentral. Lineage: Eukaryota; Metazoa; Chordata; Mammalia; Rodentia; Muridae.
AAAUCCACUAUGGCUGUGGAAUAUCACCAUAUUAAUCAUCAUCAUGGUGGAUCUGGCUGGCUAGGUGUGUAUUCCCCUCGUCACUUUACUCCUUCAUGUGCAUCCAUACUGAAGCUGUGUUCGUCGUCCAAGAGGACAACCUUCCAAUGACAGAGGAGAACAGGUCUUCUAGAGUCUAAAGGUAUCAGAACACCCCUGCUAGAAUCUCUACAAGUGUCUCCUUUACAUCUCUAACAGAUUCCACCCAUUUCAUAUCUUUCAUAAGAAGUGGUUUUCAGUUCUGGAAUAUUUAGAAGUAAAAUUGAUGUAGUCAUGAUUAUUUUGAUCCAUUU